UCCGUAGGGGGCAAGCGUUGUCCGGAUUUAUUGGGCGUAAAGAGCUCGUAGGCGGCUUGUCACGUCGGGUGUGAAAGCCCGGGGCUUAACCCCGGGUCUGCAUUCGAUACGGGCUAGCUAGAGUGUGGUAGGGGAGAUCGGAAUUCCUGGUGUAGCGGUGAAAUGCGCAGAUAUCAGGAGGAACACCGGUGGCGAAGGCGGGUCUCUGGGCCGAUACUGACGCUGAGGAGCGAAAGCGUGGGGAGCGAACAGG
This 253-nucleotide ribosomal RNA is filed under the name uncultured bacterium. RNAcentral describes it as "partial 16S ribosomal RNA". It matches the Rfam family "Bacterial small subunit ribosomal RNA", at positions 524 to 776 of the family's 1533-position model. The record is from RNAcentral.